CAAGCAUGUCUAAAAUUCAUUGCAUUUUUGGGAGUUAAGUGGCGGCCAUUGCUUAGAUACUGAAAGGCACCGAAGCGAUAGUAUUCUACUUCAUUUGUUUGUGAAAGCUGAUUAUUCUUAUUUUAAUUCCAUGACAUGUCUGUGGUUUUCAACUUUUCUCCUCUUUUGUCGGCUGAUUUCAGUUCUGUUGAUUUCGAUUUAGGAAACAUAAUGGAGGCACAGAACAGGAAACAAUAAGCAACUGGGGUUCUUGAAACGAAAAAGUUGUAUUUUAAAGGUAGCUUGAAGAUAGAAACAUUGUUGAGAGGAAAGAAUUAUUUGUAUGUUAGAAGAUAGUUUUUGUGGCCAGGCAAACUUCACUUGAAAUUGGUGAAGCUGUAGCUUCCUCCUCUUGGCUGGUCCUUUAUUUAUAUCGGAGAUUAAGUGUAGUUUCAAGUUUUUGUUAAAGAUUAUUUUGUGGCAAACAAUGCUCUGCAUUAAUUAGAAAGGGCAUGGUACUGACUCAGUUUUUGAGUAGUCGAAUAUGUGUUGAUGAGGUUUAAGUUCUUCUACUUGAUCUGUGUCUAAUUUUGUGAUGUAUUUUAUUUUUUUGUCGUCAGUAAGUCAAAUUGAAAGCACAAUAUAAUCGUUAGGAAAAUUAUCAAAGCAAGCCAGUUUAGCAAAUUAGC
This 668-nucleotide long non-coding RNA is filed under the name Actinidia chinensis (golden kiwifruit). RNAcentral describes it as "long non-coding RNA (ACHI_LNC002231)". The record is from RNAcentral. Lineage: Eukaryota; Viridiplantae; Streptophyta; Magnoliopsida; Ericales; Actinidiaceae.